RNAcentral lists this ribosomal RNA (253 nucleotides) under uncultured bacterium. RNAcentral's name for it is "partial 16S ribosomal RNA". It matches the Rfam family "Bacterial small subunit ribosomal RNA", at positions 524 to 776 of the family's 1533-position model. The record is from RNAcentral.
UACGUAGGGGGCAAGCGUUGUCCGGAAUUACUGGGCGUAAAGCGCGUGUAGGCGGGCCGACAAGUCCGGCGUGAAAGGCUUGGGCUCAACCCGAGAUGGCCGUUGGGAACUGUCGUUCUUGAGGGUCGAAGAGGAGAGUGGAAUUCCUGGUGUAGCGGUGAAAUGCGUAGAGAUCAGGAGGAACACCCAUGGCGAAGGCAGCUCUCUGGUCGACCUCUGACGCUGAGACGCGAAAGCGUGGGGAGCGAACGGG